This 468-nucleotide ribosomal RNA is filed under the name uncultured bacterium. Its description in RNAcentral is "partial 16S ribosomal RNA". It matches the Rfam family "Bacterial small subunit ribosomal RNA", at positions 28 to 507 of the family's 1533-position model. The record is from RNAcentral.
GACGAACGCUGGCGGCGUGCUUAACACAUGCAAGUCGAACGGAAAGGCCCUGCUUUUGUGGGGUGCUCGAGUGGCGAACGGGUGAGUAACACGUGAGUAACCUGCCCUUGACUUUGGGAUAACUUCAGGAAACUGGGGCUAAUACCGGAUAGGAGCUCCUGCUGCAUGGUGGGGGUUGGAAAGUUUCGGCGGUUGGGGAUGGACUGGCGGCUUAUCAGCUUGUUGGUGGGGUAGUGGCUUACCAAGGCUUUGACGGGUAGCCGGCCUGAGAGGGUGACCGGCCACAUUGGGACUGAGAUACGGACCAGACUCCUACGGGAGGCAGCAGUCGGGAAUCUUGCACAAUGGGCGGAAGCCUGAUGCAGCAACGCCGCGUGCGGGAUGACGGCCUUCGGGUUGUAAACCGCUUUCGCCUGUGACGAAGCGUGAGUGACGGUAAUGGGUAAAGAAGCACCGGCUAACUACGUG